GAUGAACGCUGGCGGCGUGCCUAAUACAUGCAAGUCGAGCGAAAAGACGAGGAGGUUGCUCCUCGGACGUUAGCGGCGGACGGGUGAGGAACACGAGGAUAAUCUACCUAUAAGACUGGGAUAACUUCGGGAAACCGGAGCUAAUACCGGAUAAUAUAUUGAUCCGUAGGGUUUAAUAGUGAAAGUCGGUUGUGCUGUCACUUAUAGAUGGAUCUGCGCCGCUUUAGCUAGUUGGUAAGGUAACGGCUUAUCAAGGCAACGAUGCGUAGCCGACCUGGGCGGGUGAUCGGCCCCCCUGCACCGGGGCCACGGUCCAGACUCCUACGGGAGGCAGCAGUAGGGUAUCUUCCGCAAUGGGCGAAAUCCUGACGGAGCACCGCCGCGCGAGGGAUGAAGGUCUUCGGAUCGUAAAACUCUGUUAUUAGUGAAGAACAAAUGUGUAAGUAACUAUGCACGUCUUGACGGUACCUAAUCAGAAAGCCACGGCUAACUACGUG
RNAcentral lists this ribosomal RNA (497 nucleotides) under uncultured bacterium. RNAcentral's name for it is "partial 16S ribosomal RNA". It matches the Rfam family "Bacterial small subunit ribosomal RNA", at positions 28 to 507 of the family's 1533-position model. The record is from RNAcentral.